This is a long non-coding RNA of Coregonus clupeaformis (lake whitefish), 1179 nucleotides long. RefSeq lists it as uncharacterized. NCBI's taxonomy places the organism in Eukaryota, Metazoa, Chordata, Actinopteri, Salmoniformes, Salmonidae. The record is from RefSeq and is a predicted model, not a curated record. The transcript has 2 exons.
CUCAAUCACACACUCGCUCACUCCCUCACGCACUCACUUACUCACAUAGUUUAGCUUUAUGAUUAUUCUCAUUUAAGAUAAUUGGGCCUCUAUUUCAGGAGAGGAACGACAUGCAUGACCUUCUGGCUCUCCUCUCUGCUGAGACCGAUCCGGCCCCAACAGAGCAGGCCCAGCUCUAACAGUGGUCUUCUCUACAGGCCGUCCUGCUCCGCUCCCGUUUGGCACCAGCUCCUGCCACAACAAAAGAGGAUUCCUCUGAAGAGUUCCUGCUGGAUACAGAUCUGCCAAGCACACCUCUUCCAGCCACACCACCACUGCCCUCUUCAUCUUGGACCACGACCGAUGGACAGAGCCCAUUAGAGCUGCAAGUGAUGUCCUACUGGCCAAGCACCACGGGGAGGAAGAGAUCCUGAAGUGGGUGGAUCUGAUUUGCUUUUAACACCAGCCCAGAGAAGCUCUUAGAGACACUCACAUUAUGUCACUGCAGAGAGUGAAACAGUCAGUGUCCCAGUCACGUCCCCUAAGACCUGCACUUACACAGCAGAAAGCCUCACCAUUUCAAGGAUGCCAUUUGAGGAUUUUGCUGCCGCUGCCUUCUUUCAAUGGGAGCUGGAGGCCUCAAAGAAGAGGGAUGUAGUGAGGAAGGAGCGAACUGAAGAAAGAGAAAAUCCUUAGAUUAAGCAGAGUUGGUCUGAUGGGAAUCUGUGAUUUCAUUUUGCUUGAGGAACAAUAGAGGAACAAUAGAGAACAAAAGAGGAAAGCCCCAACUUGUGCUAUGUCAUGACUCACCUGGACCACCUCUUGUUAAGUAAAUCAGGUGUUACAUGAGGUGAAAAGGAGACAAGUGCCAUUUUAAGAAAAUAAAAAGCAAUGUAUUUACAUUCACAUAUCAAACCGUUUACACUAAACAGACCUAAAACAACUAUCUAGGAUUGUUGCAUGAAUAAAUUAAUAAAUAUGAAGCAUGUAACUGCCAAGGUAGAAUAUUGAAAGUGUGUCCUCCUGUAAAAUGAUUUGGUCUGAGGGAAUUUUAAUAAAGUUACUAUAAUAAAGAAUUGAAGACAAAAACACUCCAUAAACUGAUUAAACUUUAUUAAAACUUGUAAUGUAAUUAUUGUUUUAAGUACAGUGUACCAACUUCUCUCUUAUGUUUAUUUUAAUAAACAGAGUAAACUUUUA